CUUAUGUUCCAAAACCACCAAUUGUUAAACCUCCAAUAGUACAUCCACCUUACGUACCAAAACCCCCAGUUGUGAAACCACCACCAUAUGUCCCUAAACCACCUGUUGUGAGACCACCCUAUGUUCCUAAACCACCAGUUGUACCUGUAACACCACCUUAUGUUCCUAAGCCACCAAUUGUUUUCCCACCACAUGUUCCUCUACCUCCAGUUGUACCAUCACCACCACCUUAUGUACCAACACCUCCAAUUGUGAAACCACCAAUUGUUUUUCCACCACAUGUUCCUCUACCUCCAGUUGUGCCUGUAACACCACCUUAUGUGCAACCACCACCUAUUGUAACUCCACCAACACCAACACCUCCAAUUGUGACACCACCAACACCACCUAGUGAAACACCUUGUCCUCCACCACCACUUGUACCUUAUCCACCACCACCAGCACAACAAACAUGUUCCAUUGAUGCUUUGAAGUUGGGUGCAUGUGUUGAUGUGCUUGGUGGACUCAUACAUAUUGGUAUAGGUGGAAGUG
This 531-nucleotide long non-coding RNA is filed under the name Medicago truncatula (barrel medic). RNAcentral describes it as "long non-coding RNA (MTRU_LNC000957)". Lineage: Eukaryota; Viridiplantae; Streptophyta; Magnoliopsida; Fabales; Fabaceae. The record is from RNAcentral.